UGACACGCAGCAAAGGACCUGAACCUGUGCCACUGCCAAGCGUUCAGCCUACAUGGGGUCCACACUGUACCAGAUAGAUCCUUUGGAAAGUACCAGUCACAAGCAACAGAAGACCCCCAGUCUUCCUCCAUUUUCAUCUUUCAGCCAACAUGGCUCCUCUGUGACAGCUGCUUAAGAACGACACCACCUGGCCCCGGGCCCCCAAAACACGAAGAGGCACUACGGUUCAUCAAGCCACCACUCACCAACCCCACUCUCACA
Molecule: non-coding RNA, 261 nt
Organism: Plectropomus leopardus (leopard coralgrouper)
Lineage: Eukaryota; Metazoa; Chordata; Actinopteri; Perciformes; Serranidae
Source: RefSeq, a predicted model, not a curated record